Molecule: ribosomal RNA, 641 nt
Filed under: uncultured Pseudomonadota bacterium
Lineage: Bacteria; Pseudomonadati; Pseudomonadota
Description: bacterial SSU rRNA
Rfam family: Bacterial small subunit ribosomal RNA
Source: RNAcentral
ACAGGAAGAAGCUUGCUUCUUUGCUGACGAGUGGCGGACGGGUGAGUAAUGUCUGGGAAACUGCCUGAUGGAGGGGGAUAACUACUGGAAACGGUAGCUAAUACCGCAUAACGUCGCAAGACCAAAAAGGGGGACCUUCGGGCCUCUUGCCAUCGGAUGUGCCCAGAUGGGAUUAGCUAGUAGGCGGGGUAACGGCCCACCUAGGCGACGAUCCCUAGCUGGUCUGAGAGGAUGACCAGCCACACUGGAACUGAGACACGGUCCAGACUCCUACGGGAGGCAGCAGUGGGGAAUAUUGCACAAUGGGCGCAAGCCUGAUGCAGCCAUGCCGCGUGUAUGAAGAAGGCCUUCGGGUUGUAAAGUACUUUCAGCGGGGAGGAAGGGAGUAAAGUUAAUACCUUUGCUCAUUGACGUUACCCGCAGAAGAAGCACCGGCUAACUCCGUGCCAGCAGCCGCGGUAAUACGGAGGGUGCAAGCGUUAAUCGGAAUUACUGGGCGUAAAGCGCACGCAGGCGGUUUGUUAAGUCAGAUGUGAAAUCCCCGGGCUCAACCUGGGAACUGCAUCUGAUACUGGCAAGCUUGAGUCUCGUAGAGGGGGGUAGAAUUCCAGGUGUAGCGGUGAAAUGCGUAGAGAUCUGGA